UUAAAGAAAGCGUAAUAGCUCACUGGUCGAGUCGGCCUGCGCGGAAGAUGUAACGGGGCUAAACCAUGCACCGAAGCUGCGGCAGCGACACUAUGUGUUGUUGGGUAGGGGAGCGUUCUGUAAGCCUGCGAAGGUGACCUGUGAGGGUUGCUGGAGGUAUCAGAAGUGCGAAUGCUGACAUAAGUAACGAUAAAGCGGGUGAAAAGCCCGCUCGCCGGAAGACCAAGGGUUCCUGUCCAACGUUAAUCGGGGCAGGGUGAGUCGACCCCUAAGGCGAGGCCGAA
This 284-nucleotide ribosomal RNA is filed under the name Klebsiella pneumoniae. RNAcentral's name for it is "partial 23S ribosomal RNA". It matches the Rfam family "Bacterial large subunit ribosomal RNA", at positions 1123 to 1406 of the family's 2925-position model. The record is from RNAcentral. Lineage: Bacteria; Pseudomonadati; Pseudomonadota; Gammaproteobacteria; Enterobacterales; Enterobacteriaceae.